This is a long non-coding RNA of Magallana angulata, 486 nucleotides long. RefSeq lists it as uncharacterized. The record is from RefSeq and is a predicted model, not a curated record. NCBI's taxonomy places the organism in Eukaryota, Metazoa, Mollusca, Bivalvia, Ostreida, Ostreidae. The transcript has 3 exons.
AGGACAUGUUCCACUGUUACAUGUUGAUACUUAUAUAUGAAAAUAAUGUCCAAGUAUACUAAUUACCGUAUUAAGUCCAUACAUAUCUGUUAUGAUCCCAGAUUCAUUGAAUCUGGGGCUAUUAUGGAUCGAAUACCUUAAAUGAAUGACAACUCUUGCAGGAAAGUGCACAAGGCCUCCAAAUCCAAAAUAUGACUAUGGAAGUUUUAUUGCCCAGACAUGUGAUUGUCUAGAACCAAUUGGAUGAUGCGUUAUAUAGAAUAUUCAUAUUGAGAGCUGCCAUGUCUUCUAAGAGAAACUCCAUUCUUUGAUGACUGAUGGAAAAGCCUCAUCACUUCCUUUGCUAAAGAACUUGUUAUCUUAAUCACUAGCCAUUAAUCAGUGACCACCGUUAUCAAAGCUUCCAGACACGCAUAAUGAUACAGCUUCCUGGAUCGUGUUGAGUUUGUUUUUCAACCUGUGAAACCCAUUUGUUUUUAGGGGUGG